UGCAUGGCUGGUCGUCAGCUCGUGUCGUGAGAUGUUGGGUUAAGUCCCGCAACGAGCGCAACCCUUGUCCUUAGUUACCAGCGGGUUAAGCCGGGAACUCUAAGGAUACUGCCAGUGACAAACUGGAGGAAGGCGGGGACGACGUCAAGUCAUCAUGGCCCUUACGACCAGGGCUACACACGUGCUACAAUGGUAGGUACAGAGGGCAGCUACACAGCGAUGUGAUGCGAAUCUCAAAAAGCCUAUCGUAGUCCAGAUUGGAGUCUGCAACUCGACUCCAUGAAGUAGGAAUCGCUAGUAAUCGCGGAUCAGAAUGCCGCGGUGAAUACGUUCCCGGGCCUUGUACACACCGCCCGUCACACCAUGGGAGUUGGAAGUGCCCGAAGUCAGUGACCCAACUGUAAAGAGGGAGCUGCCGAAGGCAAAGUCGAUGACUAGGGUGAAGUCGUAACAAGGUA
This 458-nucleotide ribosomal RNA is filed under the name uncultured bacterium. Its description in RNAcentral is "bacterial SSU rRNA". It matches the Rfam family "Bacterial small subunit ribosomal RNA", at positions 1042 to 1498 of the family's 1533-position model. The record is from RNAcentral.